AAUACGCAUGACGUGAUAUCAUUGCUGUUUUUAAUAUACAGGUUGCUCUGUCAUUAUAUUUAUUAUUUACAUUUAUAAUACAAAAUAACACUGUCAUAAAAUAACCCCUUGAAUAUUUGAUUACAGCAAAAAAUAAAUAAAGGAAAUGGGAAAUGUUGAAAAAAUAAUAACAUUUAAAUGACAGACUUUUCGUUUUGGACCCCCGAACUUUAUUUUGAAAACCAUAAGUUUCAAAUGACAUGCUGGAAUGGAAUAUUUUAGUGUGUUAAAUUUAUCAAAUGAAGAUUUUUUAUAUUGUUGACCUUAUUGCAGAAAUUAAAAGUUAACAAAUUUUAUAAACUAUUUUAAAAGCAAAAGUGAUGCCUUUGUUCCAUUUUACAUUUAAAAACAAAUGAGCUAAAAUAUAUAUUUUAAUUCGUAUACUUCACGAAAGAACACUGGAGCCUUUAUAAUAAAAAAUCAUUAAUAGAGCGUCCUGUACAUGACUCAAAGGUAAAAUAAUUGAGUCAAAACUCGGUGGGAACAUUCGCGUAAUUUGCGUUCAGUCACAGUGCUACCGGCCCGACGGACGGACACACGGACAAGUAUACACAUAGAUUUGUCCACUGGUAACAAAUAAGCGAAUUAUUUUGUAUAUUUUUACUUUUAUAAUAAAGAAUUUAUUCGAUUGGUGUUUCAUUUAAAACGUUUUUGGGCGUAAGAAGUUAUUAUAAGAGAUUGUUUGGAAUUUAAUUCCCAAUUUAUUUAUCUUACCAAAAUAUAAUCCGGAUAAAAAUUGGUGUAUUAAGAUUUUUCAAAUUAUUGCAAAGAUAUGGUUUAUUCAUCUUUGAUUUAAGCCCAAAACAUUUGCUGUCUAUGAUUAUAUUAAAAUUGUUAAAUAAUUGCUUUAUUACGCAUAUCCUGAACUCGACGCUGGCCAAUCACUAUAUUUUAAACAGCAGAUUAUUACGGAUCAUUAUCUGUAUUACUGUAACAGAAAACUACACUAAUCACGACAAUUAUUACAAUGUUCAUAAAAUUAUAAUAUUACAUGCUAGGCAAUUUAGACAACUACCAAAGUAUUUUUUUAGGUUGAUUCAUAAUAAUCUAAUAAUUAUAUUAAGUGAUGUUUGAAAUAUACCAUCACAAUGAACUAAAUUUUGAAUUAAAAUUGAAUUGAAUUAAUUUAGAUAAAGGUUAUUAAAAUUAUGGUUUUGGGAAAAUAUAAGAAAAAAAUAUCAUAAUACGGAUCUAAUUAUUAUUUUAAUGAAUAAUACUAAUUGUUUUUAAUGUUCAGAUAUCCUGACAUGAUAUUUAAUAGGACGGUAUUAAAAUAAGCAUUAUAGUAUAACAAAGGGUAUAAAAAAUACCACUAAACAAUACCAGAUCACAAUCACAAGGUCAUAACUAUUUUUCACAGCCCCGACACAGUUGGGUAAACAUCACAUGUUUAGAAUAAGCAGAUAUAAUCCUUACCUAUAUUUAUACAGGUGUUAUAUUAGCAUGUUUCGUAGACAUCAUGUUGUUGGUUUAAAAUAUAAACGUCAGCGGUAAUACCCUUUAAUGUCUUUAAAUUUGUAAAAGCAAACUGUUGAUAAACAAUUUGCUUUAAUUUUACAUGUCAGAUUCCGGGUCCUUUUUCAAGACUCAUAUAGGCGAAAUUUAGUAUAUUUCAUGAUAUCGCAGUCUUAACGUACUUGUCACUAAACCUUGAAUUUACAUAAAGUUACAUCUUCGUCUAACUAUUUAGUACAUUAUUUCUAUUUGACCUCUUUUUUACACGGGAAUGGCCAGGCUCCUAAUUUUGUUGGGAAGCUAUAACUGACCUUUAUGUGACCAUACUGACCUAAACAAAUUAAAGUUUGGCUCAUACAAGACAAAAGUGUAUAUGAAUACUAGCAAGUAAUUGCUCUAACCUAUACACAUAUAAUAUAUACAUAUAUAAAGAAUUCUGGAAUGCCGCAAAAAUGAUUUUUUUAAAA
Amyelois transitella is the source of this 1961-nucleotide long non-coding RNA. RefSeq lists it as uncharacterized. The record is from RefSeq and is a predicted model, not a curated record. NCBI's taxonomy places the organism in Eukaryota, Metazoa, Arthropoda, Insecta, Lepidoptera, Pyralidae. The transcript is spliced from 2 exons.